GGGGAAGAGCCAGACCAACUUGUAGAUAAGAAAAACAUAUGCCAAUAAAUCAAGGUUUCCCAAACCGUCAAAUAAUCUGUUUUGUCUUGCGUCACAGAGAAGGAGAUGAAGAUAAUUGAGCUUGUUAACUUGAGAUACUUGGAAUUUUCAACCAGUUUCUUACCACCCAUAAAAUCAUGUUAAACUACCUUCACUCGUUUGUAUUCCGAUGCAACAGCAGUCAGAAGUGGAUAUGAAUGCCACAGCUGUGCAUGGAACAUCUGCUCCCCCAAAGCAGUAAUAAAAGCAGCCUGUUUUUCUAGGAAGACAUCCCUCUGAGAGGAAGAGUCAAACCGGAGGUCUAAUCCUGAGCAUUUACUGCGAGCAGUGAGAGGAUAUAAAAGGGCUGAGACCUUGCAGAAGCAGAAGGUGAAGGAGCGCAGCAUGACCUGAAAUAUCAGCUCCAGGCAAGAGGCCCUUUGUUGAAGUUGGAGCUGACUUGUGCGGGAAGACCUACAUGAAGGGAAUGACUGAUUGGACUGAUAAAGACUUACUCUUGGAUCGCACUGGUGGAUUAUGUUGGAUGAAGCAUCACCCUUUGAUGUGCAGAUACACAAAAUGUUACAGAUCAUGACUUUGAAGCUCAGUUUUGAUUCAAUAAGAAAGCAAACAGCCACAUAGGCUGGAUUUUAAUUAUCCCUGGGGGAUUCAAAUGUUACGUAAUAUGUGUUCAAGCUAUGAAAACCACAUAUUUGGCUGUUUGAAGAACAUUUUAAAAGAUAACAUGCAGAUGAAGGAUUAGAAACUUAGGCCUUAAUCUCAAGUACUGCACAUUUUGAAAAAUCAGCAAUGAGGGGAACAUCUAAAAGACUCAGAGAGUGAGCAAUAUGUUAAGAAUAAACUUCUUAUUGAUAUCAAAUAAAUG
RNAcentral lists this long non-coding RNA (904 nucleotides) under Dicentrarchus labrax (European seabass). RNAcentral's name for it is "lncRNA (ENSDLAG00005031267.1)". The record is from RNAcentral. Lineage: Eukaryota; Metazoa; Chordata; Actinopteri; Moronidae.